UCAAGUGACUAAGUGCAUGCGGCGGAUGCCUUGGCGAUCACAGGCGAAGAAAGACGCGGCAGCCUGCGAAAAGCUGCGGGGAGCUGGCAAACGAGCUUUGAUCCGCAGAUAUCUGAAUGGGGGAACCCACACCGCAAGGUGUAUCCGUAACUGAAUACAUAGGUUACGGAGGCGAACGAGGAGAACUGAAACAUCUAAGUAUCCUCAGGAAAAGAAAUCAACCGAGAUUCCGGCAGUAGCGGCGAGCGAACCCGGAGGAGCCCAGCUUUUGAUAGUACGAACUUUAGCCGAAAGGACCUGGAAAGGCCUGCUAUAGUGGGUGAUAGCCCCGUAGGCGAAAGAGUUGGUACGGUACUAAGGAAGCGAGAAGUAGAGCGGGACACGUGGAAUCCUGUUCGAAGACGGGGGGACCAUCCUCCAAGGCUAAAUACUCGUGAUCGACCGAUAGUGAACCAGUACCGUGAGGGAAAGGCGAAAAGAACCCCGGGAGGGGAGUGAAAUAGAACCUGAAACCGCAUGCAUACAAACAGUAGGAGCCUCGUCAGAGGUGACUGCGUACCUUUUGCAUAAUGGGUCAGCGACUUACAUUCUGUGGCGAGCUUAACCGAAUAGGGGAGGCGCAGCGAAAGCGAGUUCGAAAUGAGCGUCCAGUCGCAGGGUGUAGACCCGAAACCAGAUGAGCUAUCCAUGGCCAGGUUGAAGGUGUGGUAACACACACUGGAGGACCGAACCGACUAGUGUUGCAAAAUUAGCGGAUGAGCUGUGGAUAGGGGUGAAAGGCCAAACAAAUCUGGAGAUAGCUGGUUCUCCCCGAAAACUAUUGAGGUAGUGCCUCGUGUGUCGCUCCAGGGGGUAGAGCACUGUUUUGGCUAGGGGGACAUGGAGUCUUACCAAACCAAGGCAAACUCCGAAUACCUGGAAGCGUGAGCACGGGAGACAGAGCACCGGGUGCUAACGUCCGGACUCAAAAGGGAAACAACCCAGACCGCCGGCUAAGGUCCCAAAUAACAGCUAAGUGGAAAACGAAGUGGAAAGGCCGUGACAACCAGGAAGUUGGCUUAGAAGCAGCCAUCCUUCAAAGAAAGCGUAAUAGCUCACUGGUCGAGUCCUUCUGCGCGGAAGAUGUAACGGGGCUAAGCUGUUAACCGAAGCCGCGGAUGCACUGGUAAUCCAGUGCGUGGUAGGGGAGCGUUCUGUAAGUCUGCGAAGGCGGUUCGAGAGGACUGCUGGAGAUAUCAGAAGUGCGAAUGCUGACAUGAGUAACGUUAAAGCAGGUGAAAAGCCUGCUCGCCGUAAGCCCAAGGAUUCCUGCUCUACGUUCAUCGGAGCAGGGUGAGUCGGCUCCUAAGGUCAGGCCGAAAGGCGUAGCCGAUGGGAAUCAGGUUAAUAUUCCUGAACCUGCGUCAGAUGCGAUGGGGGGACGGAGCAUGGAAGAUCAUCCGGGUGUUGGAAGUCCCGGUUGUUGAGCGUAGGAGGUCUGCAGGCAAAUCCGCAGACGCAUCUCCAAGGCAAAGACACGUGCCGCCACGGCGGCGAAGUGAUCGGAAGUGCUUCCAAGAAAAGCCUCUAAGCUUCAGUCUGAUGCGGACCGUACCGCAAACCGACACUGGUGGGCGAGCUGAAUAUGCUCAGGCGCUUGAGAGAACUCGGGAGAAGGAACUCGGCAAAUUGACACCGUAACUUCGGAAGAAGGUGUGCCGUAGUACCGUGAGAGGAGAGACACCUUGAGCGGGAAACGGUCUCAGAGAAUAGGUGGCUGCGACUGUUUAUUAAAAACACAGCACUCUGCAAAGUCGAAAGACGACGUAUAGGGUGUGAUGCCUGCCCGGUGCUGGAAGAUUAAUUGAUGGGGUGAGAGCCCUUGAUCGAAGUCCCAGUAAACGGCGGCCGUAACUAUAACGGUCCUAAGGUAGCGAAAUUCCUUGUC
RNAcentral lists this ribosomal RNA (1927 nucleotides) under human gut metagenome. RNAcentral describes it as "bacterial LSU rRNA". It matches the Rfam family "Bacterial large subunit ribosomal RNA", at positions 3 to 1973 of the family's 2925-position model. The record is from RNAcentral.